GGUUAUGGCUCAGCGGUAGAACACUCGCCUAGCAUGUGUGAGGCCCUGGGUUUGACCCUCAGCACCA
Molecule: transfer RNA, 67 nt
Filed under: Marmota monax (woodchuck)
Lineage: Eukaryota; Metazoa; Chordata; Mammalia; Rodentia; Sciuridae
Description: tRNA.Ala
Source: RNAcentral